ACUCAAAGGAAUAGACGGGGACCCGCACAAGCGGUGGAGCAUGCGGUUUAAUUCGAUGCAACGCGAAAAACCUUACCAACCCUUGACAUGUCGAUUAUGAGGACUAGAAAUAGAUCUCUUCAGUUUGGCUGGAUCGAACACAGGUGUUGCAUGGCUGUCGUCAGCUCGUGUCGUGAGAUGUUGGGUUAAGUCCCGCAACGAGCGCAACCCUCGCUUUUAGUUACCAACAGGUUAUGCUGGGCACUCUAAAGGAACUGCCGGUGAUAAGCCGGAGGAAGGUGGGGACGACGUCAAGUCAUCAUGGCCCUUAUGGGUUGGGCUACACGCGUGCUACAAUGGCGGUGACAGUGGGAUGCUAAAGGGCGACCUUAUGCCAAUCUCAAAAAGCCGUCUCAGUUCGGAUUGAAGUCUGCAACUCGACUCCAUGAAGUUGGAAUCGCUAGUAAUCGCGGAUCAGCAUGCCGCGGUGAAUACGUUCUCGGGUCUUGUACACACCGCCCGU
Molecule: ribosomal RNA, 502 nt
Filed under: uncultured bacterium
Lineage: Bacteria
Description: partial 16S ribosomal RNA
Rfam family: Bacterial small subunit ribosomal RNA
Source: RNAcentral